Molecule: small RNA, 1472 nt
Filed under: Pan troglodytes (chimpanzee)
Lineage: Eukaryota; Metazoa; Chordata; Mammalia; Primates; Hominidae
Description: processed transcript
Source: RNAcentral
GUCUUGAGGCCUGGUGUUCCUCAGGAGGAGCGAGCUUGGGCCCUCUCCUCUAGGAUCCAAGCCUCAUAGCUUUCUCCUCCUUUUCUGCCUCCCUUGCUGCUUCAUGUGGGCACCUCGUUGGCCCUGCGGCCUCCAGCAUCAGACAAAAGAAGAGCAGUCACAGAUCACCAGCCAGGUGACUGGGCAGAUUGGCUGGCGGCGAGAGGGUAUCAAGUAUCGCCGGAAUGAGCUCUUCCUGGAUGUGCUGGAGAGUGUGAACCUGCUCAUGUCCCCACAAGGGCAGGUGCUGAGUGCCCAUGUGUCGGGCCGGGUGGUGAUGAAGAGCUACCUGAGUGGCAUGCCUGAAUGCAAGUUUGGGAUGAAUGACAAGAUUGUUAUUGAAAAGCAGGGCAAAGGCACAGCUGAUGAAACAAGCAAGAGCGGGAAGCAAUCAAUUGCCAUUGAUGACUGCACCUUCCACCAGUGUGUGCGACUCAGCAAGUUUGACUCUGAACGCAGCAUCAGCUUUAUCCCGCCAGAUGGAGAGUUUGAGCUUAUGAGGUAUCGCACAACCAAGGACAUCAUCCUUCCCUUCCGGGUGAUCCCGCUAGUGCGAGAAGUGGGACGCACCAAACUGGAGGUCAAGGUGGUCAUCAAGUCCAACUUUAAACCCUCACUGCUGGCUCAGAAGAUUGAGGUGAGGAUCCCAACCCCACUGAACACAAGCGGGGUGCAGGUGAUCUGCAUGAAGGGGAAGGCCAAGUACAAGGCCAGCGAGAAUGCCAUCGUGUGGAAGAUCAAGCGCAUGGCAGGCAUGAAGGAAUCGCAGAUCAGCGCAGAGAUUGAGCUUCUGCCUACCAACGACAAGAAGAAAUGGGCUCGACCCCCCAUUUCCAUGAACUUUGAGGUGCCAUUCGCGCCCUCUGGCCUCAAGGUGCGCUACUUGAAGGUGUUUGAACCGAAGCUGAACUACAGCGACCAUGAUGUCAUCAAAUGGGUGCGCUACAUUGGCCGCAGUGGCAUUUAUGAAACUCGCUGCUAGCUGCCACUAGGCAGCUAGCCCACCUCCCCAGCCACCCUCCUCCACAGGUCCAGGUGCCGCUCCCUCCCCCACCACACAUCAGUGUCUCCUCCCUCCUGCUUUGCUGCCUUCCCUUUGCACCAGCCCCUGAGUCUAGGUCUGGGCCAAGCACAUUGCAAGUGGGACCGGUGGAGCAGCCCCUGGGCUCCCUGGGCAGGGGAGUUCUGAGGCUCCUGCUCUCCCAUCCACCUGUCUGUCCUGGCCUAAUGCCAGGCUCUGAGUUCUGUGACCAAAGCCAGGUGGGUUCCCUUUCCUUCCCACCCCUGUGGCCACAGCUCUGGAGUGGGAGGGUUGGUUGCCCCUCACCUCAGAGCUCCCCCAAAGGCCAGUAAUGGAUCCCCGGCCUCAGUCCCUACUCUGCUUUGGGAUAGUGUGAGCUUCAUUUUGUACACGUGUGACUUCGUCCAGUUAC